AGCAGCCGCGGUAAUUCCAGCUCCAAUAGCGUAUAUUAAAGUUGUUGCAGUUAAAAAGCUCGUAGUUGAAUUUUAGGCCUGGCCGGGCGGUCCGUCUCUGGCGAGUACUGUCCUGUGUCGGGUCUUCCUUCUGGUGAACCAGUAUGUCCUUUAUUGGGUGUGUCGGGGAGCCAGGACCAUUACCUUGAAAAAAUUAGAGUGUUUAAAGCGGGCAUUUGCUUGAAUAGAUUAGCAUGGAAUAAUAGAAUAGGACGUUGUGGUUCUAUUUUGUUGGUUUCUAGGACCACCGUAAUGAUUAAUAGGGAUAGUUGGGGGCAUUAGUAUUCAAUUGUCAGAGGUGAAAUUCUUGGAUUUAUUGAAGACUAACUACUGCGAAAGCAUUUGCCAAGGAUGUUUUCAUUAAUCAAGAACGAAAGUUAGGGGAUCGAAGACGAUCAGAUACCGUCGUAGUCUUAACCAUAAACUAUGCCGACUAGGGAUCGGAUGAUGUUAAUUUUUUAAUUGACUCAUUCGGCGCCUU
This 520-nucleotide ribosomal RNA is filed under the name uncultured Archaeospora. Its description in RNAcentral is "SSU rRNA". It matches the Rfam family "Eukaryotic small subunit ribosomal RNA", at positions 569 to 1089 of the family's 1831-position model. The record is from RNAcentral. Lineage: Eukaryota; Fungi; Glomeromycota; Glomeromycetes; Archaeosporales; Archaeosporaceae.